This 429-nucleotide ribosomal RNA is filed under the name Verrucomicrobiota bacterium. Its description in RNAcentral is "Verrucomicrobia bacterium partial 16S ribosomal RNA". It matches the Rfam family "Bacterial small subunit ribosomal RNA", at positions 355 to 776 of the family's 1533-position model. Lineage: Bacteria; Pseudomonadati; Verrucomicrobiota. The record is from RNAcentral.
UAGGGAAUCUUCCGCAAUGGACGAAAGUCUGACGGAGCAACGCCGCGUGAGUGAAGAAGGAUUUCGGUUCGUAAAACUCUGUUGUUAGGGAAGAAAAAAUGUAUAGUAACUAUAUACAAAAGAGACGGUACCUAACCAGAAAGCCACGGCUAACUACGUGCCAGCAGCCGCGGUAAUACGUAGGUGGCAAGCGUUGUCCGGAAUUAUUGGGCGUAAAGCGCGCGCAGGUGGUUUAGAAAGUCUGAUGUGAAAGCCCACGGCUCAACCGUGGAGGGUCAUUGGAAACUAAUAAACUUGAGUGCAGGAGAGAAAAGUGGAAUUCCUAGUGUAGCGGUGAAAUGCGUAGAGAUUAGGAGGAACACCGGUGGCGAAAGCGGCUUUUUGGCCUGCAACUGACACUGAGGAGCGAAAGCGUGGGGAGCAAACAGG